UGGUCUGUAACUGACGCUGAGGAGCGAAAGCGUGGGGAGCGAACAGGAUUAGAUACCCUGGUAGUCCACGCCGUAAACGAUGAGUGCUAAGUGUUAGGGGGUUUCCGCCCCUUAGUGCUGCAGCUAACGCAUUAAGCACUCCGCCUGGGGAGUACGGUCGCAAGACUGAAACUCAAAGGAAUUGACGGGGGCCCGCACAAGCGGUGGAGCAUGUGGUUUAAUUCGAAGCAACGCGAAGAACCUUACCAGGUCUUGACAUCCUCUGACAAUCCUAGAGAUAGGACGUCCCCUUCGGGGGCAGAGUGACAGGUGGUGCAUGGUUGUCGUCAGCUCGUGUCGUGAGAUGUUGGGUUAAGUCCCGCAACGAGCGCAACCCUUGAUCUUAGUUGCCAGCAUUCAGUUGGGCACUCUAAGGUGACUGCCGGUGACAAANNGGAGGAAGGUGGGGAUGACGUCAAAUCAUCAUGCCCCUUAUGACCUGGGCUACACACGUGCUACAAUGGACAGAACAAAGGGCAGCGAAACCGCGAGGUUAAGCCAAUCCCA
RNAcentral lists this ribosomal RNA (546 nucleotides) under Bacillus sp. PCSM65. Its description in RNAcentral is "bacterial SSU rRNA". It matches the Rfam family "Bacterial small subunit ribosomal RNA", at positions 730 to 1276 of the family's 1533-position model. Lineage: Bacteria; Bacillati; Bacillota; Bacilli; Caryophanales; Bacillaceae. The record is from RNAcentral.